Molecule: non-coding RNA, 196 nt
Filed under: Arabidopsis thaliana (thale cress)
Lineage: Eukaryota; Viridiplantae; Streptophyta; Magnoliopsida; Brassicales; Brassicaceae
Source: RNAcentral
CGUGGAGAUUUUGUUGAGAUGCUACGAGCGUAUCUUGCUUUGAACAAGGGCAUCUAAAGUCACAGAUGCGCGUGAUUAUUGUUCUAGACUUGCAGACUUCCUUUUUUUUUUUUUUUGCAAAUCCAGAUUUGUUUUCUGAAUGGUGAAUUCGUGGUCCAGUAAGGUUUUGAUACCUUUCAAAGAGGUAAACUUAACA